UACGGAGGGUGCAAGCGUUAUCCGGAAUCACUGGGCUUAAAGGGCUCGUAGGCGGGUCUGUAAGUCAGUGGUGAAAUCUCCGGGCUUAACCCGGAAACUGCCAUUGAUACUAUAGGUCUUGAAUUAUCUGGAGGUAAGCGGAAUAUGUCAUGUAGCGGUGAAAUGCUUAGAUAUGACAUAGAACACCAAUUGCGAAGGCAGCUUACUGCGGAUCGAUUGACACUGAGGCACGAAAGCGUGGGGAGCAAACAGG
RNAcentral lists this ribosomal RNA (253 nucleotides) under uncultured bacterium. RNAcentral's name for it is "partial 16S ribosomal RNA". It matches the Rfam family "Bacterial small subunit ribosomal RNA", at positions 524 to 776 of the family's 1533-position model. The record is from RNAcentral.